RNAcentral lists this ribosomal RNA (253 nucleotides) under uncultured bacterium. RNAcentral's name for it is "partial 16S ribosomal RNA". It matches the Rfam family "Bacterial small subunit ribosomal RNA", at positions 524 to 776 of the family's 1533-position model. The record is from RNAcentral.
AACGUAGGACGCAAGCGUUAUCCGGAGUUACUGGGCGUAAAGCGCGGGCAGGCGGUCUUGCCAGUCUGAUGUGAAAUCUCCCCGCUCAACGGGGAGCAGCCAUUGGAAACUACAAGACUGGAGUCUGACAGAGGUAGGCGGAAUUCCCGGUGUAGCGGUGAAAUGCGCAGAUAUCGGGAAGAACACCGGUGGCGAAGGCGGCUCUCUGGGCCUGUCCUGACGCUCAGGCGCGAAAGCUAGGGGAGCGAACAGG